Molecule: transfer RNA, 76 nt
Filed under: Gimesia aquarii
Lineage: Bacteria; Pseudomonadati; Planctomycetota; Planctomycetia; Planctomycetales; Planctomycetaceae
Description: Planctomycetes bacterium V144 tRNA-Pro
Rfam family: tRNA
About the family: Transfer RNA (tRNA) molecules are approximately 80 nucleotides in length.
Source: RNAcentral
CAGGGUGUGGGGAAGCCUGGCCAUCCCGCGUGUUUUGGAAGCACGAGAUCACUGGUUCAAAUCCAGUCAUCCUGAC